This 77-nucleotide transfer RNA is filed under the name Pseudomonadota bacterium. RNAcentral's name for it is "Proteobacteria bacterium tRNA-Met". It matches the Rfam family "tRNA". Rfam says of the family: Transfer RNA (tRNA) molecules are approximately 80 nucleotides in length. Their secondary structure includes four short double-helical elements and three loops (D, anti-codon, and T loops). Lineage: Bacteria; Pseudomonadati; Pseudomonadota. The record is from RNAcentral.
GGCUGGGUAGCUCAGAUGGUUAGAGCGUGGCAUUCAUAACGCCAAGGUCGGCGGUUCGAUCCCGCCUUCAGCCACCA